This 74-nucleotide transfer RNA is filed under the name Pseudogymnoascus destructans 20631-21. Its description in RNAcentral is "tRNA-Lys (TTT) (tRNA-Lys-TTT-1-1)". It matches the Rfam family "tRNA". From Rfam's summary of the family: Transfer RNA (tRNA) molecules are approximately 80 nucleotides in length. Lineage: Eukaryota; Fungi; Ascomycota; Leotiomycetes; Thelebolales; Thelebolaceae. The record is from RNAcentral.
GCCCUGCUGGCACAAUUGGUUAGCGCGUGGGCCUUUUAAGCCCAAGGUUCAGGGUUCGAGACCCUGGUGGGGCG